AAAGUCGUAACAAGGUCUCCGUUGGUGAACCAGCGGAGGGAUCAUUACAAGAAGCCGCAAGGCUACUUAAAACCAUCGCGAACUCGUCCAAAGUUGCUUCGGCGGCGCGGAGCCCCUUCACCGGGGCGCCGCGGCCCUCCAGUCCCCGGGCUCCCGGGGGGUGUGGGCGCCCGCCGGAGGUAUGAAACUCUCAUGUAUCAUAUAGGCAUCUCUGAGCAAAUAACCAAUAAGUUAAAACUUUCAACAACGGAUCUCUUGGUUCUG
RNAcentral lists this unclassified non-coding RNA (264 nucleotides) under Ascomycota sp. RNAcentral describes it as "partial contains small subunit ribosomal RNA, internal transcribed spacer 1, and 5.8S ribosomal RNA". The stretch from base 1 to 47 matches the Rfam family "Eukaryotic small subunit ribosomal RNA", at positions 1785 to 1831 of the family's 1831-position model. The record is from RNAcentral. Lineage: Eukaryota; Fungi; Ascomycota.